UAAAUUAGACAAUUGAUUAACAUUUCGAUACUAUUUACCGAUCAAAAACGGGCUAUAAAUGGAUACCUUGCCUUCGUUCCAUCUCCCGUCACUCGUCCAAGCCAGAAAGACAUAAGAAAACUUCUACUCUUGUUUCUAUAAACAAAACAACCGCUCCCAAUUAAAGCCCCGCCCUUUACUUCCUCCGAAGGACACCUCGAUCGGAACCGUGGACGGGGUCGCGAAGCCCAUGUGCAACGACGUGGGCUCCCUCCCCGCUGCUGCCUGUCACCCCACCAGCCCCGCCGCGGCUCCCAUGUGCGCCGCUGAAGCCACCCUCGGCCGCCGCCUCGUCUAGGUGGGCGUCGCCGCCUCAUCUAGGUGGGCGUCAACGAUGUCUUCUCCGUCCCUCCCUCCUUGAUACCGUUUGGAUCAAUUUGCAAUCCAAUGAAAGUGGGAGAAAAGAUAAGAAAAAUUUCUUUUGUAAGGAGGAAGAUAACUUUCAUUCAAAUACUUGGAUGCUUUCUCAUUACAAUUCAUGAAUAUUUAUAGGCAAGUCAUGGGUAACAUGAAAAGACAAAAGAAAAUGAAAGGUCAAGAGUCACUUUAAUAUGGGUAACUCACAAAAUAAAAUACAUCAAAGCCAAAACUAAAUUCUCUUAGGAAAUUUAAAAGGUCAAAAGACACCUGCCUCUUAAAAUAUCUAUAACUUUCCAACCAUAACUUGGAUUUUUAUGUUCUUAGGCUUGUUGGAAAGAAGAGAAAGAUAUCUGAACCUUUUAU
This 762-nucleotide long non-coding RNA is filed under the name Phoenix dactylifera (date palm). RNAcentral's name for it is "long non-coding RNA (PDAC_LNC015098)". The record is from RNAcentral. Lineage: Eukaryota; Viridiplantae; Streptophyta; Magnoliopsida; Arecales; Arecaceae.